ACAACUUUUCUCAUGACUUUCUUUGUUUUACCAAACAUUGAAAAAGAAAGUUUAUAUGAAAUUUUAUUUUCAUUCUUUUUUUUUUUAAGAAGAAAUCUUUUUUUUUUUUCACAAACCAAAUGAGACAUAAAGAACAGCUCAAAGUAGAAAGUGCUCGGCGCAGUGAAAGCACAUCGGAAUAGAAAGUGCCAUGCUUUUCUUUACAAAGCAGUGAAAGCACAAAGUAGUAUUCACAUGUUAGAUUUUAGCACUGCAAUAGUGAAUUAAAACGGAUCCGGACCAGCACUCUUUGUUGGUCUCUAUGAUCAUCUAAUCAAAAGAGAGGGAGAGAAAGAGAGAGGGAGAGAGAGAGAGAGUGUAUUGGUUGGUCACAGAAACCAGCAAUUUUGCUGGUUGGCAUAUCUGAAUCCCUAAAAACAGUCAAAUCUCAUCCUUGUCCCAAGCAUAAGUACCAAUAUCUUUUGCAAAACAAUGACAAGCCACUGUGAUCAAAGUCAUAUCCAUCCUCUACAAUUCAUUCAAUGCAACUGGCCUCCCUCCACGUGGCAGUGCUCGGCGCCGGAGCUGCUGGCCUAGUGGCAGCACGUGAACUCCGGCGAGAAGGUCACAAAGUAGUAGUCUUUGAGCGAGGAGACCAAGUUGGUGGCACUUGGGUCUACACUCCUGAAGUGGAGUCGGACCCAAUUGGGCUGGACCCAGAUAGAACUAGGGUCCACUCGAGCAUGUACCAGUCUCUGAGGACCAACCUCCCAAGAGAGAGGUCAUGGGGUUCCGAGACUUCCCAUUUGUUGCCAAGGAAGGAGAUGAAGAUGGAGACCCGAGAAGAUUUCCGGGUCACAGAGAAGUGUUGAAGUACUUGAAUGACUUUGCUAGGGAGUUUGGGAUAUGUGAGAUGGUGAGGUUUGAGAGUGAGGUGGUGUUUGUGGGUUUGGUGGAGGGUGGAAAGUGGAAGGUCAAGUCCAAGAACAAAAGAAGUGAGGUUGUGGAAGAGAUUUAUGAUGCUGUGGUGGUCUGUAAUGGACAUCAUACCGACCCUCGUGUAGCUCAGAUUUCAGGCAUGCAUACAUAUAAGGGGAAGCAAAUUCACAGUCACAAUUAUCGUACUCCUGAGCCAUUUAGAGAUCAGGUUGUAAUUUUGAUAGGCAGCGCUACUAGUGCUGUUGAUAUUUCUCGGGACAUAGCUGGAGUUGCUAAAGAAGUACACAUUGCAUCUAGAUCUGUUGCUGAUGAAACCAUAGAAAAGCACCCUGGCUAUGAUAACUUGUGGCUUCACUCGAUGAUCCAAACUGUCCAUGAAGAUGGUGGUGUUGCUUUUCAAGAUGGAAGCGUUGUCUGUGCUGACAUCAUUCUUCACUGCACAGGGUACAAAUAUCAUUUUCCCUUUCUCGAAAUGGAUGGCAUUGUGAUCGUGGAUGACAACCGUGUUGGGCCACUGUACAAGCAUGUCUUCCCACCAGUCUUUGCUCCUUCACUUUCCUUUGUUGGAAUACCAUGGAAGGACGCUCUUUUCUUCAUGUUUGAACUUCAAAGCAAGUGGGUAGCCGGUAUUUUGUCUAAUCGAAUAGCACUUCCAUCCCAAGAGGACAUGAUGGAGGAUGUCAAAGCUUUCUACUCUUCACUUGAAGCUUCGGGCACACCUAAGCGAUACACUCAUAACAUUGCUGAUCAUCAGUCUGGAUAUGAUGAUUGGGUUGCAACUGAGUGUGGGUGUCCAGUCUCUGAGGAAUGGAGAAAGCAAAUGUACUAUGCAGCUAUAGAGAACAUGCUAACCAAACCAGAGACAUACCGAGAUGAGUGGGGGGAAUAUGAACAUUUAGUAUUGCAAGCUCAUGAGGACUUCAAGAAAUACGCCUUAAAUUGACAGAUAAUUCUUGACCAAAUGAAAUUGGACAUGUUAAUGGAUAAGUGAAGGCACAUGAUUUCUUUCCCAGAUUGAUCAUUGUGAAUGUAGUGGCACAAAUGUGUUCAAGAAAUGUGGCGCAUUCCUUCUUCAGCUUGGUAUUGUUGGUGUUUUUGAUAUCAUUGUACCAUAGGAUGUGAACUUUAUAUUUUAUCAGACAAUUUACUGAAUUUAGUACCCCUAACCUUUCUGCCCGCUCUAUCAGGGUGCCGCUGAAUGUGAGCUCUUACGCUCAAGAUUGUUGCAGAAAUUCACUAUCUCCGUAUUCACAAAUAAACCAACUUAUGGUGAAUGAGCAGCACCAAGAGCUCAACAUUGAGACCCUUCCAAUACUUGCUUGGAAUGC
This is an RNA transcript of Fragaria vesca subsp. vesca, 2246 nucleotides long. It is a transcript of the gene named flavin-containing monooxygenase FMO GS-OX-like 3-like, with no coding region annotated. NCBI's taxonomy places the organism in Eukaryota, Viridiplantae, Streptophyta, Magnoliopsida, Rosales, Rosaceae. The record is from RefSeq and is a predicted model, not a curated record. The transcript has 7 exons.